Molecule: ribosomal RNA, 254 nt
Filed under: uncultured bacterium
Lineage: Bacteria
Description: partial 16S ribosomal RNA
Rfam family: Bacterial small subunit ribosomal RNA
Source: RNAcentral
UACGGGGGGGGCAAGCGUUGUUCGGAAUUACUGGGCGUAAAGGGCUCGUAGGCUGCCAACUAAGUCAGACGUGAAAUCCCUCGGCUUAACCGGGGAACUGCGUCUGAUACUGGAUGGCUUGAGUUUGGGAGAGGGAUGCGGAAUUCCAGGUGUAGCGGUGAAAUGCGUAGAUAUCUGGAGGAACACCGGUGGCGAAGGCGGCAUCCUGGACCAAUACUGACGCUGAGGAGCGAAAGCCAGGGGAGCAAACGGGG